Molecule: long non-coding RNA, 478 nt
Organism: Eurytemora carolleeae
Lineage: Eukaryota; Metazoa; Arthropoda; Copepoda; Calanoida; Temoridae
Exons: 2
Source: RefSeq, a predicted model, not a curated record
AAUCCGUCGUCUUUGCAAUAAGGACAGAGAUCAGGGACAGAAGGGAAUCGGUGUUAGGUAUAGAUCAUGUAGUGACAUACAGUACAUCGGAUAAAUGAGAGUUGCGGCAUCUGUGUACACAGAUAUGGGGUAUGUAAACAGUAGACAGUUUUUCUAUCCCAUAGCAUGAAAGAUUUGUUGUAUAAAACUGCAAAUUAAGAAGUUACACGAUCAUCAGUAAACUUGAAAAAUUAUCCGAUGGGCAUAACAAUACUUCUCCGAAACAUAAGAGCUUAUACCAAGGUUUCAUGAUGCCGGGUCAAUCAGGAGAUUUAUGUACUGCUUGAAGUUCACAAGUGAAGGAAAUCAGGGAAAUCAUGAUGUUCUAUUUCAAGAAAUCUUUGAGAAAAGAAAAAGAUAGAGUUGUGGAGUACUUUACAAUAAUUAGAAACCUAAUUAAAAUAUUGUUCUUUUUUUCAUUAAUAAAUGGUUAAGCCCA